AUUCCAGCUCCAAUAGCGUAUAUUAAAGUUGUUGCAGUUAAAAAGCUCGUAGUUGGAGUUCAGAUUGAGCUCGGCCGGUCGGCCUAAUUGGUCAGAACUGGUUGACUCUGUCUUGUUUGUGGAUCCCUCCGGAGUUAACUCUUCGGAUGUGGAGUCCACAUCGUUUACCUUGAAAAAAUUAGAGUGUUCAAAGCAGGCGUUUGCUUGAAUAUAUUAGCAUGGAAUAAUGGAAUAGGACGCUGGUUCUAUUUUGUUGGUUUGUGCACCAUGGUAAUGAUUAAUAGGGACAGUUGGGGGUAUUCGUAUUCCAUUGUCAGAGGUGAAAUUCUUGGAUUUAUUGAAGACGAACUACUGCGAAAGCAUUCAUCAAGGAUGUUUUCAUUA
Molecule: ribosomal RNA, 384 nt
Filed under: Telonemia sp.
Lineage: Eukaryota; Telonemia
Description: partial small subunit ribosomal RNA
Rfam family: Eukaryotic small subunit ribosomal RNA
Source: RNAcentral